UACAGAGGUCCCAAGCGUUGUUCGGAUUCACUGGGCGUAAAGGGUGCGCAGGUGGGUUGGCAAGUUCGAUGUGAAAGCCCCGGGCUUAACCCGGGAAUGGCAUUGGAAACUGCUGAUCUGGAGGAUCGGAGGGGGGACUGGAAUUCUUGGUGUAGCAGUGAAGUGCGUAGAUAUCAAGAGGAACACCAGUGGCGAAGGCGAGUCCCUGGACGAUACCUGACACUGAGGCACGAAAGCCAAGGGAGCAAACAGG
RNAcentral lists this ribosomal RNA (253 nucleotides) under uncultured bacterium. Its description in RNAcentral is "partial 16S ribosomal RNA". It matches the Rfam family "Bacterial small subunit ribosomal RNA", at positions 524 to 776 of the family's 1533-position model. The record is from RNAcentral.